UCCUGUUUCAUUUCACUUUAUUUAUUUAUUUUUUUUUGGAGGUGGAGUCUUACUCUGUUGCCCAGGUUGGAGCGCAGUAGCAUAAUCAUAGCUCAAUGCAGCCUCAAAUUCCCGGGCUGAAGCAAUUUUCCAACCUUGGUCUCCAGAGUAGCUGGGACUACAGUGAACCAUCACACCUGGCUACUCAAUAGCUUUUGACUGAUAGAGGUGUGUGAUCAAACAGGUGGGAGGCCACAGUUCCAACAGAGGGAGUCAGUGCUGGAAAAUUAGAACAGGUGACUCCUGGUGAGGCAGAUUUCAGGUAAAAACCAGAGAAGGGAUUUUAAAACUCAAAUGAGAAAUCUCAGGAAUGCAAAAGAAGAUUCAACAAACAAAAGUUUGGCGAGGAAGUGGCAGCCCUCCCCUCACACUGCAACACAGACAGAUCCUGUGCUUACUUAUGAUGUCAUCACACUUAUCACAAUUUGUAAUACCCUGACCUCCUUCAGGGCAGGACCCUGAUUGUCUCUCCUGGAGGUCCCCCACGCCCUUCACCACUCCUGUCCAUGGGAAGCACAGGAAGUGGACAAAGAGGCCCUACCUGGAGGGAGCUGCAUUUGGCCUUGGUGGGGCCUGAGCUCUGGACCCAGAAUAUAAAGAAUCUUUAUCUUUCAGCCACCUCAUCCUGACAGUGACAGGAGAACUGCCAGUCAGGGGAGGCAAAAAGGGACAGAGUGAGAGAGAAGCGAGAAGGCAGAAUGCAAAGGGAGAGAUCUGGUGACAAUGUCCUGGCAUCCUGGCACUCCAACAUGCCACGGUCUUGUUAUACGAACAGAUGAACUCUUGCUCUGUUGCCCAGGCUGGAGUGCAUUGGCUCGAUCUCUGCUCACUGCAACCUCCGCCUCCAGGGUUCAAGUGAUUCUUCUGUCUCAGCCUCCUGAGUAUCUGGGACUGUAGGGAACUGCAUCUUGCAGCACAUCAGAAUCAUCUGGGAGCAGGAGAACCCUUCUGACCAUGAAAGCAAUUUAUUUCCCAGAACCAAUCCAGAAGAGGCCACUUCUACUGAUCCUGACCAAGUCAAGAGCUGGGCUUGUGGUGGGCUGAACUG
This 1087-nucleotide long non-coding RNA is filed under the name Homo sapiens (human). RNAcentral describes it as "HSALNT0385694". The record is from RNAcentral. Lineage: Eukaryota; Metazoa; Chordata; Mammalia; Primates; Hominidae.